Molecule: ribosomal RNA, 279 nt
Filed under: Trichophyton indotineae
Lineage: Eukaryota; Fungi; Ascomycota; Eurotiomycetes; Onygenales; Arthrodermataceae
Description: partial 28S ribosomal RNA
Rfam family: Eukaryotic large subunit ribosomal RNA
Source: RNAcentral
GGUUGACCUCGGAUCAGGUAGGAAUACCCGCUGAACUUAAGCAUAUCAAUAAGCGGAGGAAAAGAAACCAACAGGGAUUGCCCCAGUAACGGCGAGUGAAGCGGCAAGAGCUCAAAUUUGAAAUCUGGCCUCCCCUGGGGGCCCGAGUUGUAAUUUGCAGAGGAUGCUUCGGGUGCGGCCGCCGUCUAAGUUCCUUGGAACAGGACGUCAGAGAGGGUGAGAAUCCCGUCUUGGGCGGGCGGUCCGCGCCCGUGUGAAGCUCCUUCGACGAGUCGAGUG